RNAcentral lists this long non-coding RNA (1833 nucleotides) under Homo sapiens (human). RNAcentral describes it as "HSALNT0008098". The record is from RNAcentral. Lineage: Eukaryota; Metazoa; Chordata; Mammalia; Primates; Hominidae.
CACAUUUAAAUGCGGCUUGCUCUCCUGUGUCUGCGGUCAGAGCCCACUGGAUUUAGGAAACUAGAUAAUUUGUUGUGCUACCGAUCAGAGCAGGAACUGAGAAGGCAAGACUGGCAUCCGCCAGGGCUGCUUAGCACAGUGGUUGCCAGGGUUUAUGUUUUGGUUAUUGUUGUUGAAUGAUCCUUAUUUGUAAUCUCUUUUUCUGCUUGAGAUCCCCUUUUAUUUUUCAGAAUUGUGGCUUGCAUUGUAAGAGGAGCCUGUGAAUUCAGAGGCAAGUCUGCUGAGGACCGAAUGUUCCUGUCCAUAAAAACAGAAGUCUGGCCUGGGCUCCUCUCUUGGGUGAAUUUGCAAUGCCAGAUCCUCUCUAUCAGUUUGGUUUUGUUUCUUGUAUCUCUGGGAAGGCAGGCAGACAGCACGGUCACCUGUGAAUGCAGCUACAAUUGGCUUAGCUGCCUCACUGAUAAAUGUGCCCCCAGUAAGCUACAAAGGGAUUACCAGCGUUCUCAGCAGCUAAAGAAAAGGUCCAGACGCCUGAGCCUGGAAAGAAGCCUGGCCCACGUUCUAUCCAUUUACCCUGUGGCCUUACAGAGACAGAACCUUUGCAGAGCCUGCACUGUGCUUUUACUGUUCCCUUUCGUGGUUGGCUGAAUAUUGGCCUUCCAAAGAUGUCUACAUCUUAAUCCCCAGAACCUAGGGAACCUGUGAAUACAUCACCUAACAUAGGAAAAGGAACUUUGAGGAUGUGGUUAAGGAUCCUGAGAUGGAACUGGUGAAGAUUUCCCCAGCAAAAAGUAGAAGCUCAGUGUUUCAUAGAUGAAGACUGGGGAGAUUGCAAAAGACCCAUCCAGAGUCUCACUUUGUCGCCCAGGCUGGAGUACAGUGGUGCGAUCUUGGCUCUCUGCAACCUCUGCCUCCCAGGUUCAAGUAAUUCUCCUGCCUCAGCCUCCCGAGUAGCUGGUACUACAGGCACACAUUUGUAGAGAUGGUGUUUCCCCAUGUCAUCCAGGCUGGUCUGGAACUCCUGGGAUCAAGUAAUCCACCCGCCUCGGCCUCCCAAAGUGCUGGGAUUACAGACGUGAGCCACCACGCCCUGCCAAUAAAAAGAUUAUCUCCAGAUGCUGACUAAGGUACAGAGAGGUCAAGUAACUUGCCCAAAGUCACACAACUAUCAAGGAGCAGAGCUGAGGUUUGAUGUCACAGAGGGGUCAAGAUACAGUCAUAUUUAUUAAACAGCCUACUUCAUGCUUUGAACAGAAGAGUUUUAUCAGUUUUAAAUGUUUCUUCAUUUCUAUACCUUCUUUUAUCUGAGGAGCUUAAGCCAUUUUGUAGAGGCAUUAAGUAUUGCCUCAGUCUUAAUAUGUGAGACAAGGUGUGAGGAAUAUAGAGAUUCAUAAAAUAAUCCCCAUCUUCAAGGAACUCACAGUCAGGAAGAACAGAGCCUGCAACACAAAUAAUUGCAAUAUAGUAGAAGUGCCAAUAGGAGCUCUAUGAAGGGCGUGAAACAGGAAAGGCUACAUAGAGGAGAUGGCAGACACUCUGUGGAUUGUGACCUGUUGGUGGGCCAUGAAAUCAAUUUGGGGGUUUGAGAGCAUCAUUCUUUUAAUAAAACAGAAGAGAAUCAUCUGCAAUAAGGAACCCAUGGAUGAAUACCAUCUGGUCCUGGUGAUUUACUGCACAGAGUCCCUCAAGUUGCUCCAUACCUUUCUCCUGAGAGACUGAAGAAUCUCUGUCAAGGCCGUUCUCUGCUUUGCCAUAAAAUGUGUCCUUGGAACAAGAAUUUCCCCAUUGUCUUCUUCAAUAAAUACUGAUUCAAAGUAUUCAUUUAGCUGUUCC